This 124-nucleotide small nucleolar RNA is filed under the name Castor canadensis (American beaver). RNAcentral's name for it is "Small nucleolar RNA SNORA42/SNORA80 family (ENSCCNG00000027749.1)". The record is from RNAcentral. Lineage: Eukaryota; Metazoa; Chordata; Mammalia; Rodentia; Castoridae.
UGGGUGGCUAGGAUUACAGGUGUAAGCCACUGGAGCCCACCUUAAUGAGGAAAUUUCAGUUUUGAAAAAAAUACUCCUGACCUCUGCCUAUAGGUUCCUGGCACUGAAAUAGAGUUGUACAGUG